UACGGGAGGAUCCAAGCGUUAUCCGGAUUUAUUGGGUUUAAAGGGUGCGUAGGCGGCCUGUUAAGUCAGGGGUGAAAGACGGUAGCUCAACUAUCGCAGUGCCCUUGAUACUGAUGGGCUUGAAUGGACUAGAGGUAGGCGGAAUGAGACAAGUAGCGGUGAAAUGCAUAGAUAUGUCUCAGAACACCGAUUGCGAAGGCAGCUUACUAAUGGUCUUAUUGACGCUGAGGCACGAAAGCGUGGGGAUCAAACAGG
Molecule: ribosomal RNA, 255 nt
Filed under: uncultured bacterium
Lineage: Bacteria
Description: partial 16S ribosomal RNA
Rfam family: Bacterial small subunit ribosomal RNA
Source: RNAcentral